This 1700-nucleotide long non-coding RNA is filed under the name Bemisia tabaci. RNAcentral's name for it is "lncRNA ENSSWEETPG007266". Lineage: Eukaryota; Metazoa; Arthropoda; Insecta; Hemiptera; Aleyrodidae. The record is from RNAcentral.
CCACGCGCGUUCCGAAAGCAGAUGCAAGGCAUCUUAUCAGCGCCGUAAUUUUAAUACCACCGCGAGAAGUCGUUUGCAAUGCGAAGAGUCGAUUCUGCCGUCGCACACUGGCGGGUGGGCGGAAACAAUUCAGGAGGUGGACAAAUUUUUUUCCAACCAGACAGCAAAAGUAUCUGAAUGAUUUUGUAGCUUAUGCUACAGACUAUCAAGUUGUAGCAUCAAUUUUAUUUACUCCUCCCUCAAUGAUUUUUCAAACAGACCCUUUGUCGGGCAUCGAAGAAAAUAGCUACUUUUGGUGCUAAAGUGGUCUUCGCCUACAAGUCAAUAGCAAGAUUUUUUUUUCAAAAACCGACAUUAUACUCUGUAAGUGCGUAGUCUAAGCUACAAAUUAUAUAUUAACAUGCUCAUAAAAAUCUCUUAUUCGUGCCAAUAUUGACACUUGAACCUAGGUGAAGAAAAAUGCGAUUUUUUGUUUGUUUUAGGUUUCAUUUUAAAAAAAAGCUCCACUGAGCUCCACUUUGAGACUUAUAUAGGCUCAUAGGUAAUAGUCUGAAGAGUAAAUGGUGAAAAAAGAUUUUGCAGAUAGCUGCAGGUAGAGAGCGUAGUGAGCGUAGGUGCGAGUUGGGAGAUGAGAAAUUCGGCGCGUCGCCGCCGCGCUGACAUCACUGCGUUUGGCGCAAUGCGUGAAGUAUUCAUGCAGUCUUGUAGGCGCUAUGCGUUUCACGCUGCCCGCUGCUGACCGCAGCACCGCACGGCGCACUGUCUUUGGCGCAAUGCGUGAAGUAUUCAUGCAGUCUUGUAGGCGCUAAUAUGUGUUACAUGCCGACCGCCGCGUCGCACCACAGCACGUCGCGCGUCGCUCCUAUACGACUCUUUCAGCGAUGACAUUUUUAUCUCAUUUUUGACCUAAUCUAAGGAACAUGGACACGAUACGGAAUCAAAAAACCCUUUUAAAACAAUGACUUCUCCAAGUGAUGGGCAUGUCAUGGGUCAAGAAACCGGGCAUUUAGUCGGUGAUUUAUACCUUCGAAAGAAGCUCGAUGUUACGAUUAUACACGCGGAUCUAUGCAAUGCUUUAUUUGCAGAAUAUAACGUGGUGAAGUUUAUUGAAAGCAAACACAAGAAUUUAAGUGACAGACAUAAAAAUUUUGUUAUUGGAGAAGUGAAAAACUAUUUGUUCCUCACUUUAAAAGCAAAUGGAAGCAAGUGCAUCGAACACUGGAAAAAAAAAUACUUCGAGUUAAAAUUUAAAAAGUGGCUCACUUCCAAUGCCUAUACAAUUUAUGGUUUUAAAAAAUUGUAUUUUGGCAAUGAGUUACUUGUUCUCGUUUCCUAUACACGUUUUAACAGUAUUAGUCAGGACAGUUUCGACAUCAUUUACUUAUUGCAUUGCAGUGCUCAAAAAUUGUGAAGGGGGGGGGGAGUUGGUGUUUACAACUUUAAAAAUGAUUUCCGAUAAUCAAGUGAUCAUACCAAACUACUACUUGCCAUGUGUUAAAUUAAGCAUUUCAACAAUUUGGAAUUAUUGCCGCAAAAGCGUGACUACCCGCCAGUGUGCGCCGCAUGAGCCUUCAGGCGUUGCCAAAUUUCCUCUGAUAAAACACGAAUUUCCUAGGAAACUUAUGACUAUUUUCCUGCAAAUUUUUCAGAUAAUUUUGUUCGUAAUUUCACCAAUAGUUCCUGAAAAUUCGAGGGAAAAU